CAGAAGAGAAGGCUCAGGGGUGACCUGUGGCCUGCUACAAACAAAUCAGAAGGGACCAGCAGGCAUUGGGGGAGUCCCUGUUCCCCCGAGCACUACCAGGAGUGACCAGGAAUAACGGUC
Gavialis gangeticus (Gharial) is the source of this 120-nucleotide long non-coding RNA. RefSeq lists it as uncharacterized. The transcript has 3 exons. The record is from RefSeq and is a predicted model, not a curated record. NCBI's taxonomy places the organism in Eukaryota, Metazoa, Chordata, Crocodylia, Gavialidae.